This 253-nucleotide ribosomal RNA is filed under the name uncultured bacterium. RNAcentral describes it as "partial 16S ribosomal RNA". It matches the Rfam family "Archaeal small subunit ribosomal RNA", at positions 474 to 727 of the family's 1478-position model. The record is from RNAcentral.
UACCCGCAGCACAAGUGGUGGUCAUUAUUAUUGGGCCUAAAGCGUCCGUAGCUGGCUUGUUAGAUGCCUGGGUAAAUCGAUGCGCUUAACGCAUCGAACUCCGGGUAGACCGGCAAGCUCGAGACCGGGAGAGGUGUAGGGUACUCGGGGGGUAGGGGUAAAAUCCUGUAAUCCUCCGGGGACGACCAGUGGCGAAGGCGCUACACUAGAACGGCUCUGACAGUGAGGGACGAAGCCCUGGGGCGCAAACCGG